Molecule: long non-coding RNA, 221 nt
Organism: Rhagoletis pomonella (apple maggot)
Lineage: Eukaryota; Metazoa; Arthropoda; Insecta; Diptera; Tephritidae
Exons: 2
Source: RefSeq, a predicted model, not a curated record
GGUAAAUCUUUCGCCUUGUCCACAACGCUUCGUACGCAUGAAAAGGUGCACACUAACGAAAAACCCUUCAAGUGUGAGCCCUGUAACAAAUCUUUCAAACUACCUCACCAGCUAAAGUCCCACUUACUUACAAACCAACAUAAAAACAUUCUGAUGGCUAGUGAGUUGGGGAACUUGGAUUAUGAAAAAUGUAUUUAAAUAAAAAUCUUAGUUAUUACUUA